UUUGCCCUACGGGACGCAGCAGUGAGGAAUAUUGGGCAAUGGAGGCAACUCUGACCCAGCCAUGCCGCGUGAGUGAAGAAGGUUUUCGGAUUGUAAAGCUCUUUCGGAUGUGACGAUGAUGACGGUAGAAUCUAAAGAAGCCCCGGCUAACUUCGUGCCAGCAGCCGCGGUAAUACGAAGGGGGCAAGCGUUGUUCGGAAUUACUGGGCGUAAAGGGAGUGUAGGCGGCUUAGUAAGAUAGUGG
This 244-nucleotide ribosomal RNA is filed under the name uncultured bacterium. RNAcentral's name for it is "partial 16S ribosomal RNA". It matches the Rfam family "Bacterial small subunit ribosomal RNA", at positions 333 to 594 of the family's 1533-position model. The record is from RNAcentral.